Molecule: ribosomal RNA, 464 nt
Filed under: uncultured bacterium
Lineage: Bacteria
Description: partial 16S ribosomal RNA
Rfam family: Bacterial small subunit ribosomal RNA
Source: RNAcentral
GAUGAACGCUGGCGGCGUGCUUAACACAUGCAAGUCGAACGGAAAGGCUCCUGCUUGCAGGGGUACUCGAGUGGCGAACGGGUGAGUAACACGUGGGUGAUCUGCCCUGCACUUCGGGAUAAGCCUGGGAAACUGGGUCUAAUACCGGAUAGGACGAUGGUUUGGAUGCCAUUGUGGAAAGUUUUUCGGUGUGGGAUGAGCUCGCGGCCUAUCAGCUUGUUGGUGGGGUAAUGGCCUACCAAGGCGUCGACGGGUAGCCGGCCUGAGAGGGUGUACGGCCACAUUGGGACUGAGAUACGGCCCAGACGCCUACGGGAGGCAGCAGUGGGGAAUAUUGCACAAUGGGCGCAAGCCGGAUGCAGCGACGCCGCGUGGGGGAUGACGGCCUUCGGGUUGUAAACUCCUUUCGCUAGGGACGAAGCGCAAGGGACGGUACCUGGAGAAGAAGCACCGGCUAACUACGU